AGAUCAUCUUCGCUGUGAAAGAGGACACAAAAACUGGAGGGUAGAGGGUGGUCGGGUUGGUGUUUCGAUUGUUCUCUUUCUUUUCUGGCCAUGGCAUGCAUUAAUCACCGAAGCCUCCGCGGAGUGCCGCCGGCUCCGCCGAUGAGCCCUCGCAUGUCGUUCUCGAGCGACUUUAACAUGGAGCCGCCACCGGCACGCACCCCCGGUCCUCCGCCCGACCCUGACUUUGAGUUCUCGGUCGGCAGCCGCCCGAUGAUCGCCGCCGACCAACUCUUCUUCAAGGGCCGGCUUCUUCCUCUUAAGGACAGCCACCAAGGCGGCGGUCAUCAUAGGAUCACGACCCUCCGCGAUGAGCUCCGCGCUAACGACGACGAGGAGCGGCCGCCCAAAGGAUCCGUCAGGUGGAAGGGACUUCUUGGGCUGAGAAGGCCGGCGCCGAAGAAGGGCGAUAAGAAAGAAGACGAGUUUCUCGGCAAGUAUUCAUAGGAGCUAUGAAUCUAAUCUCCGGUAAGGGAGGAGAUACAGUAAAUACAGUGGCCUCUUCUUCAUCUAAUUAGUUCCGUGAUGUUGUUGUUCACUCGUGUGAAAAGUUUGCCUGUAUUACUGCGUUCGUAGGGAGGAGUUUGAAGAAACUUCGAGUUGUUUUCGUCGGAUUGGUUAAUGACAUUAACUCUCUGGAAAGAAAUCAGCAGUAUUUUGCC
Long non-coding RNA from Musa acuminata AAA Group (dessert banana), 701 nucleotides. RefSeq lists it as uncharacterized. NCBI's taxonomy places the organism in Eukaryota, Viridiplantae, Streptophyta, Magnoliopsida, Zingiberales, Musaceae. The record is from RefSeq and is a predicted model, not a curated record. The transcript is spliced from 2 exons.